UAUCGGUUUUGGAUGGACUCGCGGCCUAUCAGCUUGUUGGUGAGGUAAUGGCUCACCAAGGCGACGACGGGUAGCCGGCCUGAGAGGGUGACCGGCCACACUGGGACUGAGACACGGCCCAGACUCCUACGGGAGGCAGCAGUGGGGAAUAUUGCACAAUGGGCGAAAGCCUGAUGCAGCGACGCCGCGUGAGGGAUGACGGCCUUCGGGUUGUAAACCUCUUUCAGUAGGGAAGAAGCGAAAGUGACGGUACCUGCAGAAGAAGCACCGGCUAACUACG
Molecule: ribosomal RNA, 280 nt
Filed under: Micrococcus luteus
Lineage: Bacteria; Bacillati; Actinomycetota; Actinomycetes; Micrococcales; Micrococcaceae
Description: partial 16S ribosomal RNA
Rfam family: Bacterial small subunit ribosomal RNA
Source: RNAcentral